Molecule: ribosomal RNA, 492 nt
Filed under: uncultured bacterium
Lineage: Bacteria
Description: partial 16S ribosomal RNA
Rfam family: Bacterial small subunit ribosomal RNA
Source: RNAcentral
AGUGAACGCUGGCGGUAGGCCUAACACAUGCAAGUCGAACGGCAGCACAGUAAGAGCUUGCUCUUACGGGUGGCGAGUGGCGGUCGGGUGAGGAAUACAUCGGAAUCUACUUUUUCGUGGGGGAUAACGUAGGGAAACUUACGCUAAUACCGCAUACGACCUACGGGUGAAAGCAGGGGAUCUUCGGACCUUGCGCGAUUGAAUGAGCCGAUGUCGGAUUAGCUAGUUGGCGGGGUAAAGGCCCACCAAGGCGACGAUCCGUAGCUGGUCUGAGAGGAUGAUCAGCCACACUGGAACUGAGACACGGUCCAGACUCCUACGGGAGGCAGCAGUGGGGAAUAUUGGACAAUGGGCGCAAGCCUGAUCCAGCCAUACCGCGUGGGUGAAGAAGGCCUUCGGGUUGUAAAGCCCUUUUGUUGGGAAAGUAAAGCAGCAGGUUAAUACCCCGCUGUUCUGACGGUACCCAAAGAAUAAGCACCGGCUAACUUCGUG